Molecule: ribosomal RNA, 251 nt
Filed under: uncultured prokaryote
Description: partial 16S rRNA
Rfam family: Bacterial small subunit ribosomal RNA
Source: RNAcentral
ACGUAGGGGGCAAGCGUUGUCCGGAAUGAUUGGGCGUAAAGGGCGCGUAGGCGGCACGGCAAGUCCGGAGUGAAAGUCCAGCUUUUAAGGUUGGAAUUGCUUUGGAAACUGCCGAGCUUGAGUGCAGGAGAGGUAAGCGGAAUUCCCGGUGUAGCGGUGAAAUGCGUAGAGAUCGGGAGGAACACCAGUGGCGAAGGCGGCUUACUGGACUGUAACUGACGCUGAGGCGCGAAAGUGUGGGGAGCAAACAG